CCUACGGGGGGCAGCAGUGGGGAAUAUUGGACAAUGGGGGGAACCCUGAUCCAGCCAUGCCGCGUGUGUGAAGAAGGCCCUCGGGUUGUAAAGCACUUUCAGUGAGGAAGAACGCCUGGUGGUUAAUACCCAUCAGGAAAGACAUCACUCACAGAAGAAGCACCGGCUAACUCCGUGCCAGCAGCCGCGGUAAUACGGAGGGUGCGAGCGUUAAUCGGAAUUACUGGGCGUAAAGCGCGCGUAGGUGGCUUGAUAAGCCGGUUGUGAAAGCCCCGGGCCCAACCUGGGAACGGCAUCCGGAACUGUCAAGCUAGAGUGCAGGAGAGGAAGGUAGAAUUCCCGGUGUAGCGGUGAAAUGCGUAGAGAUCGGGAGGAAUACCAGUGGCGAAGGCGGCCUUCUGGACUGACACUGACACUGAGGUGCGAAAGCGUGGGUAGCGAACAGGAUUAGAUACCCUAGUAGUC
RNAcentral lists this ribosomal RNA (465 nucleotides) under Vreelandella stevensii. RNAcentral describes it as "partial 16S ribosomal RNA". It matches the Rfam family "Bacterial small subunit ribosomal RNA", at positions 338 to 795 of the family's 1533-position model. Lineage: Bacteria; Pseudomonadati; Pseudomonadota; Gammaproteobacteria; Oceanospirillales; Halomonadaceae. The record is from RNAcentral.